GGUUAAGCGACUAAGCGUACACGGUGGAUGCCCUGGCAGUCAGAGGCGAUGAAGGACGUGCUAAUCUGCGAAAAGCGUCGGUAAGGUGAUAUGAACCGUUAUAACCGGCGAUGUCCGAAUGGGGAAACCCAGUGUGAUUCGUCACACUAUCGUUAACUGAAUACAUAGGUUAACGAGGCGAACCGGGGGAACUGAAACAUCUAAGUACCCCGAGGAAAAGAAAUCAACCGAGAUUCCCCCAGUAGCGGCGAGCGAACGGGGAGCAGCCCAGAGUCUGAAUCAGCUUGUGUGUUAGUGGAACGGUCUGGAAAGUCCGACGGUACAGGGUGAUAGUCCCGUACACCAAAAUGCACAGGCUGUGAACUCGAAGAGUAGGGCGGGACACGUGGUAUCCUGUCUG
This 400-nucleotide ribosomal RNA is filed under the name Pseudomonas aeruginosa. Its description in RNAcentral is "partial 23S ribosomal RNA". It matches the Rfam family "Bacterial large subunit ribosomal RNA", at positions 1 to 440 of the family's 2925-position model. Lineage: Bacteria; Pseudomonadati; Pseudomonadota; Gammaproteobacteria; Pseudomonadales; Pseudomonadaceae. The record is from RNAcentral.